GGUUGUAGCUCAAUGGUAGAGUGCUUGCCUAGCAUGUGUGGGGCAUUGGGUUCGAUUCUCAGCAUCA
This 67-nucleotide transfer RNA is filed under the name Marmota monax (woodchuck). RNAcentral's name for it is "tRNA.Ala". The record is from RNAcentral. Lineage: Eukaryota; Metazoa; Chordata; Mammalia; Rodentia; Sciuridae.